RNAcentral lists this small RNA (566 nucleotides) under Pongo abelii (Sumatran orangutan). RNAcentral's name for it is "retained intron". Lineage: Eukaryota; Metazoa; Chordata; Mammalia; Primates; Hominidae. The record is from RNAcentral.
CACCACGCGCCCCAUAGGCUCCGCUGCUGACCUCUGCAAGCUGGCCAUGAUCCAUGUCUUCACUGCAGUGGCUGCUUCCCGCACCUUGACGGCCAGGCUGGUGGCCCAGAUCCAUGAUGAGCUGCUGUUUGAAGUGGAAGAUCCGCAGAUCCCGGAGUGUGCAGCUCUCGUCAGGAGGACCAUGGAGUCCUUGGAACAGGUGCAGGCAUUGGAGCUGCAGCUUCAGGUACCCCUCAAGGUGAGCCUGAGUGCCGGCCGCUCAUGGGGACACCUGGUGCCACUGCAGGAGGUCUGGGGCCCUCCGCCAGGCCCAUGUCGCACUGAGUCUCCCAGCAACAGCCUGGCUACCCCCGGGUCCCCUGUCAGCACCCAGCCCCCACCCCCGCAUUUUUCGCCUUCAUUUUGUCUGUAGCCCCAGGCAACAGUGGGAGGAGAGAACUGGUUUCCAGCAGUCCAUUGUGUGGCCUUCCCCAAGGUCACCAGCUCUGCACGCCCCAGGACGCAUUAACCCUUUGGGGCUGGGGUGGCCUGUCAUCCCCUGGAGUAAAUGCCUGUGCAAAGCCCUC